RNAcentral lists this long non-coding RNA (440 nucleotides) under Elaeis guineensis (African oil palm). RNAcentral describes it as "long non-coding RNA (EGUI_LNC064785)". Lineage: Eukaryota; Viridiplantae; Streptophyta; Magnoliopsida; Arecales; Arecaceae. The record is from RNAcentral.
GAGUCAGAUUCUUGCAGAAGCUCGUCUGGAAUCCAUCCACUGUGGAAGUUUGGACAGAGUCUGAUCCUUGCAGAAGCUUGUCCGGAAUCCAUCCACUAUGAAAGUUCAGACGGAGUCUGAUUCUUGCAGGAGCUCGUCCGGAAUCCAUCCACUGUGGAAGUUCGGACGGAGUCCGAUUCUUGCAGGAGGUCGAAAGGAGGUCGCUUAUUGUAGGAGCUCGAUCGAAGAUCGAUUGUCGUGGGAGCUCGGAGUAACGACCUGGCCAGUGGAUCCUGCCCCAUGGUAGAAGCUCGUCUGGGAUCCAGCUACGAAGAAGUUCGGUUGAAGUCUACCUGUAGUAGAAGUUUGGAAGAAAUUUGUUUACAGUAGAGGCUUGAAUAGAAUUUGCUUACAGUAGAUAUCUGGGGUAGACAGCCCGCUGUAGGAAUUCGGUGUAGACC